This is a non-coding RNA of Manis javanica (Malayan pangolin), 1508 nucleotides long. Lineage: Eukaryota; Metazoa; Chordata; Mammalia; Pholidota; Manidae. The record is from RefSeq and is a predicted model, not a curated record.
ACUUCAUGCUCGUGAGACAUUGCCAUCAGUGGGGACCAGCUGAAGUGACUUCUGCAGUUUCCUACCAUAUCUAUAACUUUUUUCCUCGUCUCUCUCUCUGACAUCAAACUGCUUCCCACCUGCCCUCCCAUUCUCACUCCAGCCACAAUGCCUCGUCCGUACCCAUACUUCUGCGGUUCUCCCAUGCCCUAGAUCUGCUCACUGCACAUAUGACCCAUGAUCUCACAGUCGGCAUCGAACAGGCUUCUGACCCACAUGUAAUUCUAGAGAUUCUGCUACCUGUGCAGUUUCCAGCCACAAGGCAGGCUUCUUGGUGAUAGAGACAAAGAACUCAAACCGUGGAACCAGACAGAGCUGAAUUCAAAGACUGCUUUGUUCAGGCUUUCACACUUGUCUGUCUUCAGAAACAUUUGUUGAGCAAUUUCUAUAUGCCAAGCCCUCUUUUUAGUGGAGCAGAUAUCAUGAGGAGCAGAAUAAAUUCAGUCCUAAGCCUCUGGAAGUCCUCAGAAAUGGGGAGGCCAGUCUACCAAAGAAUCUUACAAACGAUUGUUGAAACUUGCAAUAAAUAACAUGAAGAUUAUGUACAAGUGGGAUGAGGACAUGUAACAGAAAGAUUUCAUUUAAUCUGGGAGAAAGUAAAAUUUAAGCUGAGACCUUGAGGUGGACCAGCUGGCUGUGUAACAAGAGCAGGAAAGGCUGGUUGUUUAGGAAAAGGAAGGAAGUGUCUCCCAACAACAGGAUGAAUCAGAAAGAACAGCAAAUGCAAAGGCCUUGAGGCAAGAAGGAAGGUGGCAGAGGACAGAGAGUCAAGAGAGGGGGUAAAUGGUGCAAGACCAGACUGAAGUCCUGGGCAGUGCCUGAGGAACAUUUUGAUGACUUCAUAUUUUAUUUAAAAGCAACAGGGCACUGUUAUUCAAAGUGCAUAUUAGGAAAAAAACAAAAGCUACAGCUCAAAAAGAGAGAAACAACUCAAUUAAAAGCAGGUAAAAGGCAUGAACACACAUGCUACAAAUAAUAUCAAAAUGACCAACAAUUACAUGAAAGAGUUGCCAACAUCAUCAGUCAUCUGAGAGAUGCCUAUGAGCACAUAGUGAACCGUCACUAUGUAUCCAAUAGGAUGGCUAAAAUUUGAACUUAGUGUUGGUGAAAACAGGAGGCAACUGGAAUUCUCCUGGUGGAUCCUUUCUACAAGCAUAUGGAAAAUACAGUAAAACAAGAAGAACAAAGAAUUUUACCCUCUUGCAUUCUUCUUUCAUCCCGACCCCAACAGCAGCCAUCUGAGAGUAGCAGCCACUUUGCAGUCAUUACCCAACCAGACGGAGGAAAAACGACACCCGCCAGUGGAAGAAAACCACCAGAGAGCUGGGCAAAUGCACAGAUUCCUGCCUCAAGCUAAGAAGACAGUUCACUGAUUAAGGCUAAUUAGGACCUCACCGGAAGCCUUUAAGACCCUGCAGAGAAGACAGCCCUUAAAUAUCACACAUCACUGUGUGUUUAUGGCUCCAAAG